This 326-nucleotide unclassified non-coding RNA is filed under the name uncultured fungus. Its description in RNAcentral is "partial contains small subunit ribosomal RNA, internal transcribed spacer 1, and 5.8S ribosomal RNA". The stretch from base 1 to 73 matches the Rfam family "Eukaryotic small subunit ribosomal RNA", at positions 1759 to 1831 of the family's 1831-position model. Lineage: Eukaryota; Fungi. The record is from RNAcentral.
UCAAACUUGGUCAUUUAGAGGAAGUAAAAGUCGUAACAAGGUUUCCGUAGGUGAACCUGCGGAAGGAUCAUUAUUGAAAUACAACCUCGAGGGUUGUUGCUGGUCUCUAUUCGGGACACUGUGCACGCCCUUGAUAUUAAUCCACAUACACCUUCUGUGCAUUUUGCGACGAAAAAAAAAAGGAAGGGGGGAGUGCUUUCACUUCCCCCCCUUUUCGUCGUUCUUUUCUACAAACAACGUCGUUCAGAAUGUACUUUGUUAUCAAACAUUUUAAUACAACUUUCAACAACGGAUCUCUUGGCUCUCGCAUCGAUGAAGAACGCAGC